UACGGGGGGGGCAAGCGUUGUUCGGAAUUACUGGGCGUAAAGGGCGCGUAGGCGGCCUGCUAAGUCGGACGUGAAAUCCCUCGGCUCAACCGAGGAACUGCGUCCGAUACUGGUGGGCUUGAAUCCGGGAGAGGGAUGUGGAAUUCCAGGUGUAGCGGUGAAAUGCGUAGAUAUCUGGAGGAACACCGGUGGCGAAGGCGGCAUCCUGGACCGGUAUUGACGCUGAGGUGCGAAAGCGUGGGGAGCAAACAGG
RNAcentral lists this ribosomal RNA (253 nucleotides) under uncultured bacterium. RNAcentral's name for it is "partial 16S ribosomal RNA". It matches the Rfam family "Bacterial small subunit ribosomal RNA", at positions 524 to 776 of the family's 1533-position model. The record is from RNAcentral.